GACGAACGCUGGCGGCGUGCUUAACACAUGCAAGUCGAACGGGCCCGCUCUCUUUUUUGGGGGUGGGUUGAGUGGCGAACGGGUGAGUAUCACGUGAGUAACCUGCCCCCUGCUCCUGGAUAACUGCUUGAAAGGGCGGCUAAUACGGGGUGUGCCGGCUGGUCCGCAUGGGCCUGGUCGGGAUAGUUCAUCUUCGGGUGUUUCGGUGGGGGAUGGGCUCGCGGCCUAUCAGCUUGUUGGUGGGGUGAUGGCCCACCAAGGCGGUGACGGGUAGCCGGCCUGAGAGGGUGGGCGGCCACACUGGGACUGAGACACGGCCCAGACUCCUGCGGGAGGCAGCAGUGGGGGGUAUUGCACAAUGGGCGGAAGCCUGAUGCAGCGACGUCGCGUGAGGGAUGGAGGCCUUCGGGUUGUGAACCUCUUUCUCCGGUGGUGAAGGCCCUGUCCGUUGCGGCGGGGUUGACGGUAGCCGGGUAUGAAGCGCCGGCUAACUACGUG
This 498-nucleotide ribosomal RNA is filed under the name uncultured bacterium. Its description in RNAcentral is "partial 16S ribosomal RNA". It matches the Rfam family "Bacterial small subunit ribosomal RNA", at positions 28 to 507 of the family's 1533-position model. The record is from RNAcentral.